AUUGAGAAGUUAGUCCAAUGAAUGGGAUGGGAGCCCUUCAAAGUCACAUAUACAAGCGAUUUAUGUUCAAGCUUUAUACGAGCAGGCAAUUGAGUUAAUCGGAAAGGGGAUAGCCUAUGUGGAUCAUCAGGAGUUCUUUCAAUUCUCCUAUGCUUGGGAUCUGUUUGAUUGAUGGACCUUAAAGCUCAUGCGAUAAUGCAUGAACUUGU
This is a long non-coding RNA of Triticum aestivum (bread wheat), 209 nucleotides long. RefSeq lists it as uncharacterized. The transcript has 2 exons. NCBI's taxonomy places the organism in Eukaryota, Viridiplantae, Streptophyta, Magnoliopsida, Poales, Poaceae. The record is from RefSeq and is a predicted model, not a curated record.